AGAUUCAGAAGAACGUUUGGGUAUUUGAUGUACUAAUUAAGAGAUGGAAGCAAUAAGUGCACUUAGAAUUUCCCAUCGUUUUAAAGUUUACCUGAGGUUCCUGAAGCACAGAAGAAGCAUUUUCAUGAAGACUGCAAAAACAGGAGAAAAAGGAGAAUGAUCAGUUCUAUUGAGAGCAAAAGUGUUUCUGGCAGUGUGCUCCCCACUGGCCAUUUAUAAAUAGUGGACAGCCCAGAGCCUGUUGAGUUCUGCAUGGCAUCAGGUUGCAUGCCAGGACCUCUCCUUGAGCAGGGAUGCCUCUCCAGGUUACUCCUCAAAGCUGAGAGUUUUCUUCCUGCAACAGAUUCUUGAAGUCUCAUAAACAGGAUUAAUAACUUGUGUGUGUCUUUUACUUUAUUGUAAAGACUGGUCUAGAAAGUUUCCUCCCCCCCCAAAAAAAAUCAAAGAUGUGCCUUUGUGUCAAAGAUGGACAACAGCAUCCCAGCUCCAUUUUGAAGAGCAUUACCAGCAGAUUGAGGGAGGUUGUCCUUUCCCUCUCCUCAGUCCUUGUGAGGCCACAUCUGGAGUGUGGUGUCUGGAGUGUCCUGGUCUGAGUUCCCCAGUAUAAAAGAGACAUGGAUAUAAAAAAGGAGGUCCAGCAAAAGGACAUGAAGAUAAUUAAGUUAUCAGAGCAUCUGUCUAUGAGGGGAAGCUGUGAGACCUGGGAUUGUUCAGCCUGGAGAAGAAAAGACUACAGGAAGAUGAUAUUGCUGUCUACCAGUACCCAAUCAGAAGAUACAGAGAAGACAGAGUCCAACUCUUUAAAGAGGUUAAAUGAGAAGCAAUGGACACAGGUUGGAACAUGGGAAAUUGCAAUUAAAUAUGAUGAAGCAUAUAUUAUUAUAAGGGUAAUUGAACACUGCAACAUGUUGCUCAGAGAGUUUCUGGGAUAUUUGUCCUUGGAGGUGUUCAAGACUGUACUGGCCACAGCCUUGAACAGUCUGACCUGAUUAGACCUGCUUUUAGCAGGUUUGGACUAGAGACCUCCAAAGGUCCUUCCCGACUGACAAUGUUCUGUGACUAACACACAGCAUUCUGUAUUUCCAGAGAUACCCCACAUUGUUGGGUUCAUCAUGCAGUUCUAGCUAACUCACUCACUGAAAUGGUACAGCCAGUGUCACUGGAAUGGUAUAGCUAGUGUUUUGGUCAAGAGAAAAAAACACUUUGAAAAUCUUAAAUAGUAUCAAGACUACAAAGAUUGGUUUUGAUAGAAUGCUUUUAAGUGGUAGAUUUAUAUCACAAGUAUGUAUUCAAACAAAAAAAGUGCAGUGGUAGAGAAGAAGAUGAACUGUAUGACUAUUGUUUUCUCUUUGCAAUUCCUACUCAUAUGUCAUUGGCAGAAAAUUUUCACAUAUCCUAAGACUAAGUACUCACAAAUAUUUAUGGCAACAAACUAUAUGGUAUCUUGAAAAUGCUAGAUGAAUUUAGAUUGUUUUAUAAAAUUUGCACUAUGCUGUUUGGCUACUCAGAAGUAAGCUAGAAUGUAAAUAAGCAUAGCAGGAUUUUCAGACUUCAUUCUUCUCAUCUCUUAAAGAUUUCUUAUUAUCAGAAUUUCUUAUUCUCAUCUUUACAUUUACCUUUGACUUAUUUUAUUGUUUGGGGUUUUUUACCAGAGAAUUCAUCAUUUGUCCCAGUACAUAAGUAAUUAGUAUUAUUAGGACAAUUUCAAGGGGAAGAAAACAUCACUUCAUUAUGAAAAUUUAAUUUUAAAUGUUUCAAUUUUUUAAAAGUAUUUUUAAUGAUUUUCAGCUAUUCAGAAAUAAAUCAGCCAUUUAUUUAAAAAUA
Falco peregrinus (peregrine falcon) is the source of this 1824-nucleotide long non-coding RNA. RefSeq lists it as uncharacterized. The transcript is spliced from 4 exons. Lineage: Eukaryota; Metazoa; Chordata; Aves; Falconiformes; Falconidae. The record is from RefSeq and is a predicted model, not a curated record.